This 1119-nucleotide long non-coding RNA is filed under the name Vulpes vulpes (red fox). RNAcentral's name for it is "lncRNA (ENSVVUG00000017499.1)". Lineage: Eukaryota; Metazoa; Chordata; Mammalia; Carnivora; Canidae. The record is from RNAcentral.
AUGGCAGCAGAGAAGCAGAAGCUAGAAUUCCCAAAGUUGAGGGCCCAAGCUGGAAGGCUGCACAUCUGCGAGGCCACCUCCAGCUCCAGGUCUGGAAUCCUGCGGGGUGCAGGGGACUCGGCUCUUAACCCUCAGGAUCCUGUGUGCACCGGAGCCACAGGCACCCACCAGAGAGCCAUUUCUGCUGUUGACAGUGGAGGGGAGGCUUGGAGUCCCCCAACAGCCAGAGAGAGGGCAGGGGCCACUUCCCGGGGCCUGAACGUGUGGGAUCUGCGGGCUCGGGUCGGGCAGGCUUUGCGAGUUGGAAAGGGGUUCCUGUCUCUGCGUUCCGGGCCAGGUGGCCCCGGAGACUCGGGCCAGCAGAGCGGCAGAGCGGGCGCGGCCGGCGUCUCCCCCGGCAGCUGUCGGCCGGAACCGGGCAGGGAGGCGCCGCUGGUGACGGCACCUCAUGAAACAUUGAUGCCCCGCCGCCCCGCCGCACUGCCAUCUCCCGGCACCUGGAGCCCAAGCGGCAGCCCGGACCCCCGUGGCCAAGGGCGAGCCGCUCAGCUGCUCCCGGCCCCCAGGGCGCCCGACCCCCUGUCCCAUCGGGGCCCCAGCAGCAGCAGUCUCAUACUGGCGGCUUGGAGAGCAGGAGCCCCGGCCGCCAACUGGCUUUCCCGUCCAGCCUCCGUGAGGGGUUGUCUGGCCAUGGGCACCACCGGGUGGAACCCAGCUCCCACUAGUCCUGCCCAUCUCCCAGGGAGGGCCAGCGGGGCCACAUGGACGCGGUCCUCCCUUAGGCAGGGCCGAGCAGGGCCACCGCUGGAGGGUGCGCAGGCGAGGGACGGGGCGAGUGGCCGCAGAAGCGUCGGUGCUCCGCGGCGGGGAUCUUCUCUGGGCUCAUCAGCCCAGCCCCAGAGGAGGAGAGGUGGGGAGGGGGGACCCUGCAGGCAGGGCAGAGGUCGGGCUUUGCCCCUCCCCAGUAACUGCGCCCCCCAACACACACACAGAAAUUUCUGGGGUGGGUCUUCAAACCUCCUGGGCUGCCAAAACGUGCGCUGCGGACGCUCCCUGCCAAAAUGCAGGAGCAGCUUCCUCCCGCAGGCUGAGCAGAAAAGGGGAAAGGUCGAAUCUUAA